AAUAAAACCAACCAACACCCACUAAUGCAAAGUCCCCCAGCUCUUCAGAUCAGUUGUUGAGGCCCUUGAUUGACGAGAGAGAUAUCAAAAUUAUAUUUUUAAUACCAUGAUUUUGCUUUUUCUUUUCUGUUAGACCAGCUUUUUAUUCUUUCGGAGACCAAAACAAAAAAUAAACAGGAGACAAAUAAAUAUAGAAAGAGAGAGGUGAAGCUGGUAAUGGGCCAUGGCAAUCCACAUUCCACACCCACCCUUUUAUUAUUCUUUGCUUUGAUUUUCAGGCUUUCCUUCUUCUUUACUGCAACUCGUACCGUUGUUGUCACCACCUUUCCCUUUUUUUGCCAUCCCAAAAUCUUUGCUUUCAGUGCCCCCCUUCCUCCAAAAGUAUCUCCUUUUUUGGGACAGCGUUGCCGAUACUUACCAUCGGCAAUGGGUUCUGGAAAUUUGUUGAAGACAAUAAUAAAGAAAGUGAAAAAUGACAGCCCAAAGCAAGUGAAGGGAUCUUCAGCUUCUACAAAAUCCAAUGGCUUCAAAUGGAAGAAACGCCAGCGAAAGUCAUCCACUAAAACAAGUUUUACUAGUGGAAAUUCGAACACUCUUGGCAUGCCAAUUGAGGAUUUAGCAGCAAUUCGGAUUCAAACUGCAUUCCGGGCCUAUAGGGCUAGGAAGAGUUUACGUCGAUUGAAAGGUACAGUAAGAUUACAGGCUAAAACCCAAACUUAUUCCAUCGAAAAGCAAGCUACAACAACAUUAAAUUAUCUUCAUUCAUGGAGCAACAUACAGGCUCAGAUAAGGGCACGUCGACUCUGUAUGGUAACAGAAGGGCGUCUUAGACAGAAGAAAAUAGCAAAUCAGCUGAAGCUUGAGGCAAAACUACAUGACAUAGAGGUGGAAUGGUCUGGUGGCCCUGAAACAAUGGAGACAAUUCUCGCAAAAAUACAUCAGAGAGAAGAAGCAGCUGUUAAGCGGGAGCGAACUAUGGCAUAUGCCUUUUCCCAUCAGUGGAGGGCCCCCAACUCUAACAACAAUGGGCUUGGUAAUUAUGAGCUUGCCAAAGCUAAUUGGGGUUGGAGCUGGGUGGAACGCUGGAUUGCUGUUCGCCCAUGGGAGAGCCGCCUCCCCAUUCAGUCCAUUACCCCUAAGAAAGCACAGACUAGACAGAUAAGCAAGGCUGGUAAAAACUCAAAUUCGCCAAAACCAAAAGCAUCAGCAUCAGUUAAACCUCCUUUCCCCAAUGGGAAGGGAGCCUUGAAACCUAGGAGGUUGUCUUACCCUGGUGCUGAGAAACCCGCCGCACAUCGAGAAAGCUCUAAAGCUGAGGAAGUAAACAAUAAAAAAGAAGAGACAGUUACUUAGUAGCAAGGCAAAGAUAUAGUUAAGAGUGUCCUUUCGGUUUUCAAAAAAUUUGUGUUGCCGAUAACUCAUCAGCUAUAAGUGAGCACAUCCUAUUUUCUUCUAUUUAGGUGUUGAAAAUUAUGUAUUUAUGUACUAUGGUUUUGUUUCUAGCUCGUUGUAUAGGAAGUGGCCUUGCGUGAGAACAGAAAUCACAGCACGGCUUGGUUUUGGGGCAGAAAUGAACUUUUUCAGAAUUUCAGCUAUCCUGCGCCCUCUUAUUGAAAUCAAGACUGAGGAUUGAAUGCGGACAACAGCCACUCUCUGCCCAUGUUUUCCAUUACGCUAAUGAUUCUAUCCAGACAUGAAUUGCGUGUAAAAAUUAGAUCCUAAUGGCUUUAAGUUAGGUGCUGGGAGCAGUAGGUGGCUGAAGUUGUUCUGCUUUUUUAAAGGUUAUUUCUAUUUGUAGCUUUGUCAAGGAGGGGCCAGUAACAUCCAAACCUUUUGCUUCUAGUUGAACUACUGCUAUAAUGGGAUCUAUUCAACUUUCCAGCUCUAUCCUGAAGAUACUAUCUGUAAUGGACAGCUUAGGGCCGAGUAAUUAAUUGAUUCUUGAUAGACAACCAGCUCCCUUGAGGCCCCUUGGUGUUAGCCCUUGUUCUCGUUAGUGCCCUUGCUAACGAAAUCAAACGUCUGAAGUUAUGACUAACUAGUAGAUGGGGGCUCUUUCAGUCAUCACCAGGAAAAGUAGUAUAGGCCCUCUCAAUUAUUUGGGGUAGUUCUGUUGCUUAUCCAAUCACCAACACGGUGUUAUGAAUUCGGAGAAGCUGCCUACUUCUAUAUGGAUUGAUAGCUCCUUGUUGCCAUUUAUGGAGUAUGGCUCACCUUUCAUUGUGAAGACUACUUUGGAUGUUACCUACCAGAAAUGGAUUAGGAUUAGUUUUGUUGAAGUUUGAGCAAACCAUGUUACAGGUUAAAAGUUCAUUCAUUUAGUUUGAGCAAUUUUUUCUCUUUGAAUAUGUUUUCAACGUCAAUCUUUAUAAAAUAUUAUCUAUUUUGAUUCAUUAA
This is an RNA transcript of Theobroma umbraticum, 2397 nucleotides long. It is a transcript of the gene named IQ-domain 9, with no coding region annotated. NCBI's taxonomy places the organism in Eukaryota, Viridiplantae, Streptophyta, Magnoliopsida, Malvales, Malvaceae. The record is from RefSeq and is a predicted model, not a curated record.